Molecule: ribosomal RNA, 497 nt
Filed under: uncultured bacterium
Lineage: Bacteria
Description: partial 16S ribosomal RNA
Rfam family: Bacterial small subunit ribosomal RNA
Source: RNAcentral
GAUGAACGCUGGCGGCGUGCCUAAUACAUGCAAGUCGAGCGAACAGAUGAGGAGCUUGCUCCUCUGACGUUAGCGGCGGACGUGUGAGUAACACGUGGAUAACCUACCUAUAAGACUGGGAUAACUUCGGGAAACCGGAGCUAAUACCGGAUAAUAUAUUGAACCGCAUGGUUCAAUAGUGAAAGACGGUUUUGCUGUCACUUAUAGAUGGAUCCGCGCCUCAUUAGCUAGUUGGUAAGGUAACGGCUUACCAAGGCAACGAUGCGUAGCCGACCUGAGAGGGUGAUCGGCCACACUGGAACUGAGACACGGUCCAGACUACUACGGGAGGCAGCAGUAGGGAAUCUUACGCAAUGGGCGAAAGCCUGACGGAGCAACGGCGCGUGAGUGAUGAAGGUCUUCGGAUCGUAAAACUCUGUUAUUAGGGAAGAACAAAUGUGUAAGUAAAUAUGCACGUCUUGACGGUAACUAAUCAGAAAGCCACGGCUAACUACGUG